ACUUGUGAGAGCAAGAUGAACUGGGAUGUGGCAGAGAAAUAAAAAUCCACGUUCACUUUUUCAAGAUAGCAUAUCACACUGCAAUCG
Molecule: non-coding RNA, 87 nt
Organism: Caenorhabditis elegans
Lineage: Eukaryota; Metazoa; Nematoda; Chromadorea; Rhabditida; Rhabditidae
Source: Ensembl